Paramisgurnus dabryanus is the source of this 212-nucleotide long non-coding RNA. RefSeq lists it as uncharacterized. NCBI's taxonomy places the organism in Eukaryota, Metazoa, Chordata, Actinopteri, Cypriniformes, Cobitidae. The record is from RefSeq and is a predicted model, not a curated record.
AAACAAGUUGCAUCUCUGCUAAUCACUCCACUGGGAUGUCCCAUGAACCCACCCAACCCAGUACAUCCAGCACAUCCUACAGCACAUACCUUGAUCUUUUUGAGGAAGAGUACAUCUCUGAUGACCCUGAUCUCCAGGAAGCCAUCUCAAGGUCCUUAGAGUCUAGCACAAGUGAGAGUGAUUUAAAGAUAACUUUUGAAAGAAUAAUGGAG